Molecule: ribosomal RNA, 359 nt
Filed under: Bacillus sp. Al-Dhabi-36
Lineage: Bacteria; Bacillati; Bacillota; Bacilli; Caryophanales; Bacillaceae
Description: bacterial SSU rRNA
Rfam family: Bacterial small subunit ribosomal RNA
Source: RNAcentral
CGAGCGGACUUGACGGAAGCUUGCUUCCGUUCAAGUUAGCGGCGGACGGGUGAGUAACACGUGGGUAACCUGCCUGUAAGACUGGGAUAACUCCGGGAAACCGGGGCUAAUACCGGAUAUUCUUUUUCUUCGCAUGAAGAAGAAUGGAAAGGCGGCUUUUAGCUGUCACUUACAGAUGGACCCGCGGCGCAUUAGCUAGUUGGUGAGGUAACGGCUCACCAAGGCAACGAUGCGUAACCGACCUGAGAGGGUGAUCGGCCACACUGGGACUGAGACACGGCCCAGACUCCUACGGGAGGCAGCAGUAGGGAAUCUUCCGCAAUGGACGAAAGUCUGACGGAGCAACGCCGCGUGAGUGA